RNAcentral lists this small RNA (545 nucleotides) under Pan troglodytes (chimpanzee). RNAcentral describes it as "processed transcript". Lineage: Eukaryota; Metazoa; Chordata; Mammalia; Primates; Hominidae. The record is from RNAcentral.
UCUGCUGCUGAAAACACAGAGUAACGGGUUGGUGAUUCGGCUGUAGACAUCCCUGCUGCCCUUUGCUGGGUAUGCCCUCAAGUGAACAUGAGUCUUCAUCUUUCUCUGACAAGCUACGGUUAGAGGAAUCCAGUUGCCCUGGCAAACAGACCUGGCUGGAAGGGAUGGAACACACGCUCGCCUGCGUCCCAAAGGGAAACCCAGCUCCAGCCUUGGUGUGUACCUGGAAUGGGGUGGUCUUUGACCUUGAAGUGCCACAGAAGGCAACCCAGAACCACACUGGAACCUACUGCUGCACAGCCACUAACCAGCUGGGCUCUGUCAGCAAAGACAUUGCUGUCAUUGUUCAAGGACUGGAUGAAGGAAUCAGCUCUACCCUCUUUGUCAUUAUUACUGUUACGUCUGGAGUGGGUGUCAUCACCAUAGCACUGUAUUUGAGCUAUCGGCCCUGCAAAGUGGACAGGAGGAAAUUGCUCUAUAGGCAGAAAGAGGAGGACAAAGAGGAGGAAAGCCAGUUUGCUGUUCAGGAAGAGAAAAGUACAACU